This 93-nucleotide transfer RNA is filed under the name Pseudaquabacterium terrae. Its description in RNAcentral is "tRNA-Ser". It matches the Rfam family "tRNA". From Rfam's summary of the family: Transfer RNA (tRNA) molecules are approximately 80 nucleotides in length. Their secondary structure includes four short double-helical elements and three loops (D, anti-codon, and T loops). Lineage: Bacteria; Pseudomonadati; Pseudomonadota; Betaproteobacteria; Burkholderiales; Sphaerotilaceae. The record is from RNAcentral.
GGAUGCGUGCCCGAGGGGCUGAAGGGCGCUGCCUGCUAAGCAGUUGGCCGGCGAUGAGCCGGCGCGAAGGUUCGAAUCCUUCCGCAUCCGCCA